RNAcentral lists this ribosomal RNA (70 nucleotides) under Staphylococcus aureus MUM475. RNAcentral's name for it is "partial 16S ribosomal RNA". It matches the Rfam family "Bacterial small subunit ribosomal RNA", at positions 1 to 68 of the family's 1533-position model. Lineage: Bacteria; Bacillati; Bacillota; Bacilli; Caryophanales; Staphylococcaceae. The record is from RNAcentral.
UUUUUAUGGAGAGUUUGAUCCUGGCUCAGGAUGAACGCUGGCGGCGUGCCUAAUACAUGCAAGUCGAGCG